CCUUUCUACGGAGAAUACAGGCCACUGUCCGGUGGCCGGUGCGAACCCCGAGCCCGCGGAAUGGUUCCGUGGUUUUUGUUUCGGGGAUGCUGGUGUGGAAGAGAUCAUGCGCUUGCAUGGUGCGGGCAUGCUUUUGGGCUCCCGGACCGCCACCCCGCAGGUUUCCUGCGGUGCGGUUCCGAUGCCCAUGCGGAGUACGCGGGUUCCCCUCGGGGGCUUGCGGGAACGCGUGGCGCGUGGUGGUUUGAGAACUGGAUAGUGGACGCGAGCGAUUCGGAAGGAAUCCUGUUUCUUCCGUUUUGCUUUUAUUGUUUUUCGAUCGAACUCUUUAGAUUGAUUCUGAUUUAUUGUUGUUCGUCGAUCGUUUUGUGAUCAUUUCAGAUGUGAUGAUUUGUCGUCUGGGAAUUUGCCGAUAGGGCGCUUGCGGGUCCCGUACGGGUGUAUG
This 445-nucleotide unclassified non-coding RNA is filed under the name Bifidobacterium erythrocebi. RNAcentral describes it as "Bifidobacterium sp. VB31 partial 16S-23S ribosomal RNA intergenic spacer". The record is from RNAcentral. Lineage: Bacteria; Bacillati; Actinomycetota; Actinomycetes; Bifidobacteriales; Bifidobacteriaceae.